RNAcentral lists this ribosomal RNA (1081 nucleotides) under Clostridium botulinum. RNAcentral describes it as "bacterial SSU rRNA". It matches the Rfam family "Bacterial small subunit ribosomal RNA", at positions 86 to 1188 of the family's 1533-position model. The record is from RNAcentral. Lineage: Bacteria; Bacillati; Bacillota; Clostridia; Eubacteriales; Clostridiaceae.
AGUGGAUUAGCGGCGGACGGGUGAGUAACACGUGGGUAACCUGCCUCAAAGUGGGGGAUAGCCUUCCGAAAGGAAGAUUAAUACCGCAUAAUAUAAGAGAAUCGCAUGAUUUUCUUAUCAAAGAUUUAUUGCUUUGAGAUGGACCCGCGGCGCAUUAGCUAGUUGGUAAGGUAACGGCUUACCAAGGCAACGAUGCGUAGCCGACCUGAGAGGGUGAUCGGCCACAUUGGAACUGAGACACGGUCCAGACUCCUACGGGAGGCAGCAGUGGGGAAUAUUGCGCAAUGGGGGAAACCCUGACGCAGCAACGCCGCGUGGGUGAUGAAGGUCUUCGGAUUGUAAAGCCCUGUUUUCURGGACGAUAAUGACGGUACCAGAGGAGGAAGCCACGGCUAACUACGUGCCAGCAGCCGCGGUAAUACGUAGGUGGCGAGCGUUGUCCGGAUUUACUGGGCGUAAAGGGUGCGUAGGCGGAUGUUUAAGUGGGAUGUGAAAUCCCCGGGCUUAACCUGGGGGCUGCAUUCCAAACUGGAUAUCUAGAGUGCAGGAGAGGAAAGCGGAAUUCCUAGUGUAGCGGUGAAAUGCGUAGAGAUUAGGAAGAACACCAGUGGCGAAGGCGGCUUUCUGGACUGUAACUGACGCUGAGGCACGAAAGCGUGGGUAGCAAACAGGAUUAGAUACCCUGGUAGUCCACGCCGUAAACGAUGGAUACUAGGUGUAGGGGGUAUCAACUCCCCCUGUGCCGCAGUUAACACAAUAAGUAUCCCGCCUGGGGAGUACGGUCGCAAGAUUAAAACUCAAAGGAAUUGACGGGGGCCCGCACAAGCAGCGGAGCAUGUGGUUUAAUUCGAAGCAACGCGAAGAACCUUACCUGGACUUGACAUCCCUUGCAUAGCCUAGAGAUAGGUGAAGCCCUUCGGGGCAAGGAGACAGGUGGUGCAUGGUUGUCGUCAGCUCGUGUCGUGAGAUGUUAGGUUAAGUCCUGCAACGAGCGCAACCCUUGUUAUUAGUUGCUACCAUUAAGUUGAGCACUCUAAUGAGACUGCCUGGGUAACCAGGAGGAAGGUGGGGAUGACGUCAA